AACGAACGCUGGCGGCAGGCUUAACACAUGCAAGUCGAACGCCCUAGCAAUAGGGAGUGGCAGACGGGUGAGUAACGCGUGGGAACGUGCCCUUUGGUUCGGAAUAACUCGGGGAAACUCGAGCUAAUACCGGAUACGCCCUUAUGGGGAAAGGUUUACUGCCGAAGGAGCGGCCCGCGUUCGAUUAGCUAGUUGGUGAGGUAAUGGCUCACCAAGGCGACGAUCGAUAGCUGGUCUGAGAGGAUGGCCAGCCACAUUGGGACUGAGACACGGCCCAAACUCCUACGGGAGGCAGCAGUGGGGAAUAUUGGACAAUGGGCGCAAGCCUGAUCCAGCCAUGCCGCGUGAGUGAUGACGGCCUUAGGGUUGUAAAGCUCUUUCGCACGCGACGAUAAUGACGGUAGCGUGAGAAGAAGCCCCGGCUAACUUCGUGCCAGCCGCCGCAGUAAAA
This 451-nucleotide ribosomal RNA is filed under the name uncultured bacterium. Its description in RNAcentral is "bacterial SSU rRNA". It matches the Rfam family "Bacterial small subunit ribosomal RNA", at positions 29 to 525 of the family's 1533-position model. The record is from RNAcentral.